GACUGAGAGGAGGCAGAGAAAUACUGCUCUGAAAACCCUCCUCCAGUGUACUGUAAUUGAAGGUUGAAGUCCUCCUCCCUUCCAGAAUGAGAUCACGAUGGGAAGGGAAUUAUCAGAGUUGUGGCAUGUCUUUUAACCCACGGAUCAUUUUGUUCCCACCUCUGAGUAAUGUGUUUCGGUUUGCAGCAUCACUGCAAGGGUGUCUGAGAUCCCCGAGAAAGCAGCUAUUUCACACUUUCUAAUAGUGUGAACAGCUUCUGAGAACGGAGAGCUGCUACACCAAAAGGAGACAUUCUUAUGUCCGCUUUAGGGAGUUGUAUCGGUGGGACAGGUGAACGUUUUGAAGUUGCUCUUCUUGAGCAGUAGGACUUUCUCUUCACUGCCUCAGCGUGAGUCCAUGGCGAAGCAGUCAAGGACCUGCAACGGGCUGAUUGCGAAGGCACGUAGCAUGCUGCUGAGAUCUGCCUGUGUUUUAGUCGCAGAAGGCUUUUUUCUUUUUUCACAUCAGGGAUGAAGACUGUAAAUAAACCAUUCAUAGAACUUAUCGUGGCUCUGUCAUACUCACAUUCUUUCUGUUGGACUGUCCCUUUGCUUUCCGUAUGAAGAAAUACGAGGCUGCAGGGAUGACACAGGAGUGGCCAGUGUCCCUUCCUAGACGUACCACUUACUAACUUACCAGCAGUGACUGACCUUGCRAGUCGGUCGUCUUGCCCUGAAGGGACUGUCUAGGAACAUUGUCCACUACAUAUUAUUUCUACCCACUAGAUGGAACUGAAGGACUGUGACCUGAGUUGACACUGAAUCUGUUGCUGCCUUACAACUCAAUCGAUCGUUGUGGGUUUUUAGGAGACAAGGAACACUGAUUUUUUUUUUUCCUGAUUAUUUUAAAGAAAGGGGAAGAGAAUACCAAUAAUAAAUAUUCAUGCUCAGUCGCAUUUUGAAUAUCCUGCGGCAGUUCCAAGUGGAUGCAGAUGAUACUGUCGAAUAGUAUAAAACUGUCUGGAAAACAGAGCUGUGCUGUGCUGCCUGCUCAGAAGCGAGUGGUGCCACGUAUCUGCCGAGGAAGCCGCUGUCACGAGCGUAAUAUCCYGCGGUCAGGGGACAAACAACAGCUGCAGUCUGGGAGCCCAUAAACACUGUAACUUGGUCCUUAGGUAAAGCUACAAAAAGGUAGGAAAACAAAUCAGUAUAUGGAAAGAGGAUGCUUUCCAGCAGUCCUCAAGUCACUCAGCAGGAGGUCAGGUUUCGACAACAGGGACAAAAAAAUGCACAUUGGUACGUGAAGCUUUGGAGGCCGCGAACGAACAGGAGCUGGGCUUAGCUUGGUAGCUGGAAACAGAAAUUUGACCUGCCUCUGAAUUUAAAGCAAAGAAGCAAUUUCUGAUUCAAGCAAAUUAGAGAAAUCCGUUGUGAAUAAGGAAGGAAUUAAAUAAGAGGCGAAGGAAGUGAGAUUAAUGCUCAUUUUUUCCAUGGCGGUCAGGUCAAUUUAAUCAGGUCUAUUUUGCAGUAAUCUCUCCUAAUUUUACCUAAGAAAGCACAAAUAAUAAAAAGCUGCUACCGAACUCA
RNAcentral lists this long non-coding RNA (1566 nucleotides) under Apteryx owenii (little spotted kiwi). Its description in RNAcentral is "lncRNA (ENSAOWG00000017909.1)". Lineage: Eukaryota; Metazoa; Chordata; Aves; Apterygiformes; Apterygidae. The record is from RNAcentral.